RNAcentral lists this ribosomal RNA (1558 nucleotides) under Salmonella enterica. RNAcentral describes it as "partial 23S ribosomal RNA". It matches the Rfam family "Bacterial large subunit ribosomal RNA", at positions 1392 to 2925 of the family's 2925-position model. The record is from RNAcentral. Lineage: Bacteria; Pseudomonadati; Pseudomonadota; Gammaproteobacteria; Enterobacterales; Enterobacteriaceae.
UAAGGCGAGGCCGAAAGGCGUAGUCGAUGGGAAACGGGUUAAUAUUCCCGUACUUGGUGUUACUGCGAAGGGGGGACGGAGAAGGCUAUGUUGGCCGGGCGACGGUUGUCCCGGUUUAAGCGUGUAGGUGUGUGUUCCAGGUAAAUCCGGUUCACUUUAACACUGAGGCGUGAUGACGAGGCACUACGGUGCUGAAGCAACAAAUGCCCUGCUUCCAGGAAAAGCCUCUAAGCAUCAGGUAACAUCAAAUCGUACCCCAAACCGACACAGGUGGUCAGGUAGAGAAUACCAAGGCGCUUGAGAGAACUCGGGUGAAGGAACUAGGCAAAAUGGUGCCGUAACUUCGGGAGAAGGCACGCUGACACGUAGGUGAAGUGAUUUACUCAUGGAGCUGAAGUCAGUCGAAGAUACCAGCUGGCUGCAACUGUUUAUUAAAAACACAGCACUGUGCAAACACGAAAGUGGACGUAUACGGUGUGACGCCUGCCCGGUGCCGGAAGGUUAAUUGAUGGGGUCAGCGCAAGCGAAGCUCCUGAUCGAAGCCCCGGUAAACGGCGGCCGUAACUAUAACGGUCCUAAGGUAGCGAAAUUCCUUGUCGGGUAAGUUCCGACCUGCACGAAUGGCGUAAUGAUGGCCAGGCUGUCUCCACCCGAGACUCAGUGAAAUUGAACUCGCUGUGAAGAUGCAGUGUACCCGCGGCAAGACGGAAAGACCCCGUGAACCUUUACUAUAGCUUGACACUGAACAUUGAGCCUUGAUGUGUAGGAUAGGUGGGAGGCUUUGAAGUGUGGACGCCAGUCUGCAUGGAGCCGGCCUUGAAAUACCACCCUUUAAUGUUUGAUGUUCUAACGUGGACCCGUGAUCCGGGUUGCGGACAGUGUCUGGUGGGUAGUUUGACUGGGGCGGUCUCCUCCUAAAGAGUAACGGAGGAGCACGAAGGUUGGCUAAUCCUGGUCGGACAUCAGGAGGUUAGUGCAAUGGCAUAAGCCAGCUUGACUGCGAGCGUGACGGCGCGAGCAGGUGCGAAAGCAGGUCAUAGUGAUCCGGUGGUUCUGAAUGGAAGGGCCAUCGCUCAACGGAUAAAAGGUACUCCGGGGAUAACAGGCUGAUACCGCCCAAGAGUUCAUAUCGACGGCGGUGUUUGGCACCUCGAUGUCGGCUCAUCACAUCCUGGGGCUGAAGUAGGUCCCAAGGGUAUGGCUGUUCGCCAUUUAAAGUGGUACGCGAGCUGGGUUUAGAACGUCGUGAGACAGUUCGGUCCCUAUCUGCCGUGGGCGCUGGAGAACUGAGGGGGGCUGCUCCUAGUACGAGAGGACCGGAGUGGACGCAUCACUGGUGUUCGGGUUGUCAUGCCAAUGGCACUGCCCGGUAGCUAAAUGCGGAAGAGAUAAGUGCUGAAAGCAUCUAAGCACGAAACUUGCCCCGAGAUGAGUUCUCCCUGAGACUUUAGGUCUCCUGAAGGAACGUUGAAGACGACGACGUUGAUAGGCCGGGUGUGUAAGCGCAGCGAUGCGUUGAGCUAACCGGUACUAAUGAACCGUGAGGCUUAACCUUACA